This 170-nucleotide ribosomal RNA is filed under the name uncultured Alphaproteobacteria bacterium. RNAcentral's name for it is "partial 16S ribosomal RNA". It matches the Rfam family "Bacterial small subunit ribosomal RNA", at positions 337 to 524 of the family's 1533-position model. The record is from RNAcentral. Lineage: Bacteria; Pseudomonadati; Pseudomonadota; Alphaproteobacteria.
UCCUACGGGAGGCAGCAGGGGGGAAUCUUAGACAAUGGGCGCAAGCCUGAUCUAGCCAUGCCGCGUGAGUGAUGAAGGCCCUAGGGUCGUAAAGCUCUUUCAACUGUGAAGAUAAUGACGGUAGCAGUAGAAGAAACCCCGGCUAACUCCGUGCCAGCAGCCGCGGUAAU